CGAACAUGGAUGGCAUAAUACAUGAUGUUUGAGAACGAUGUUGUUGCAAAUUAUGAAAAAAAAAUAAUUUUUGAUUAUAUUUAUGAAGUAAAAGCAUAUUUGAAUGAACAAUAUGCUAAUUUUUUGCUUUUUAAUAUGUUAAUUUAUUCUAGUACUUUUUUCUGGUGUCGUUUAUUGUUUAAUAUUAAAUAUGCUUUCUCAGAUGACAUAGCUAAUUUGAAGACGUUGGAAUUCUUUCAGUUAAUUAUAGAAUGUGGCAUUUUUUUUCUUUUCUGCAAGGCAAAAUCUCAUAAAUACAGACAUCUCACAACUUAGGCAUACGAAUGACACCCAAACGAGUGAUGCAUGACCUUAAUUUUUACAAUAGUAGUAUCCUUCUACGUAGGAAAUCUUUCUAGCAUCGAUAGAAUAAUUUAUUUCCGGCAUGAAUAGAAUCUUAAUUAAGUAUAAUACGGAAUUAUGUAUAAGCAUGAAAAAUUUUGACAUGAUAUAGAAGAAAUUUAAAAAACACAAAUAAAUCAAAUUUAUAUACCAUUCUUUUGUACAAAUGGAAAACAAUGCCAAAUCAUUUUUAAAACAGAAAAUAGACGGAUUUAUUUCUUUAAAAUUACGAUAAAUCAAUUUUAUUAUCUGAAUUUUCCUUCGUUGAUUAUAUUAUCCCAAUUGCAGUCCAUAAACGUGACCACCAACGAUGCCAAAUUGAUUUUUUUGCAACUGAAAUACAAUAACUACAGUAUCGAAUCUCACGCUUGACUGACAGUCUAUGUUCAUUGUUUUAGAUAUUUUUAAAUAUAUUUUCCUUCUCAAAAUAUAGGAAUUUUUAGAAAAAGUAAGAAAAUAAUAACGUUCCGCUAUUACUCGUUGCGUUUGUUAUUUAAUAUAUUCGAAUGGAUGUUUUUCUAUGGUUGGAGAAAUUUUAUACCUUACACGAGUAAAUUAUUUAAUUUUUAUCUAAUUUAGUUAUAUAGAACAGAAUAGUGAAUAUUGUGAUAAA
Molecule: long non-coding RNA, 994 nt
Filed under: Androctonus crassicauda
Lineage: Eukaryota; Metazoa; Arthropoda; Arachnida; Scorpiones; Buthidae
Source: RNAcentral